AGGGCGAAAGGUCAGAAAUGUGUGCUUUUWGAUCACACACGUGAUGAGGAUUUGAAGCCAACAAGCUUUGUAUCAGUCUCGUGAAUGAAUAAAGAACCAUGAAGAAGCAACAAGUCAAGGAACAAAUAGCAAGUCGAAGAGUUUGCUGAAGAAGGCAGAAGUGCCGAAACGUCCAAUAAGCAGAGUUAUUAUAACUUCAACUGUGUGAUCAUCUUUUCCAAGGAAACAAC
Long non-coding RNA from Exaiptasia diaphana, 230 nucleotides. RefSeq lists it as uncharacterized. The record is from RefSeq and is a predicted model, not a curated record. The transcript is spliced from 4 exons. NCBI's taxonomy places the organism in Eukaryota, Metazoa, Cnidaria, Anthozoa, Actiniaria, Aiptasiidae.